UACGAAAGGAGCAGGUGUUAUUCAGAUUAACUGGGCGUAAAGGGCACGUAGGUGGUUGGUUAUGUGUACUAUAAAAUUGUAAAGCACAACUUUAUAAGUGUAGUAUAAACAAUUAAACUAGAGUUAGGUAGAGGGUAAUAGAAUUUCUAAUGUAAAGGUGAAAUUUGAUGAAAUUAGAGAGAAUACCAAUGGCGUAGGCAAUUACCUGGGCCUUAACUGACACUGAGGUGCGAAGGUAUGGGGAGCGAAUAGG
This 253-nucleotide ribosomal RNA is filed under the name uncultured prokaryote. RNAcentral's name for it is "partial 16S ribosomal RNA". It matches the Rfam family "Bacterial small subunit ribosomal RNA", at positions 524 to 776 of the family's 1533-position model. The record is from RNAcentral.